UUCAGUAGUUAGUUAUUUGCUGCCAAGCAAUCAUGGAAACAUCUACAAAAUUUAACAUGUCAACAGUUUUGAGAGCUAGAAGGACCUUAUUCAAGUUGUCAGAUUCAUCCGUAAGAACUGGUCAACUAGAAUAUUUACCUCCUUAGUGCAGCACUAAUUGCUACUUGAUGUUGAAACCAUUCAAAUAAUUAAAAUUUGAGGGGUUCGCUUAUCUUCUUGCAGU
This 223-nucleotide long non-coding RNA is filed under the name Carica papaya (papaya). Its description in RNAcentral is "long non-coding RNA (CPAP_LNC016160)". The record is from RNAcentral. Lineage: Eukaryota; Viridiplantae; Streptophyta; Magnoliopsida; Brassicales; Caricaceae.